AUCACUUCUUGGUCUUUUGGCUAAGAUCAAAGUGUAGUAUUUGUUCUUAUCAACUUAAUAUCUGAUGCAACAUCCAUAGGAUUUAAACUAUUUUCUGCAGGUAGGCUUGUGGUUAGGAAUUCAUUCUGCCCUUGCUACAGGUUAGCCUGCUAUUUCAAUUCUAUGUGGAAAGCAGUCAAGAGGUA
This 185-nucleotide small nuclear RNA is filed under the name Stegodyphus mimosarum. RNAcentral describes it as "U2 spliceosomal RNA". It matches the Rfam family "U2 spliceosomal RNA". Rfam says of the family: U2 is a small nuclear RNA (snRNA) component of the spliceosome (involved in pre-mRNA splicing). Complementary binding between U2 snRNA (in an area lying towards the 5' end but 3' to hairpin I) and the branchpoint sequence (BPS) of the intron results the bulging out of an unpaired adenosine, on the BPS, which initiates a nucleophilic attack at the intronic 5' splice site, thus starting the first of two transesterification reactions that mediate splicing. The record is from Rfam by way of RNAcentral. Lineage: Eukaryota; Metazoa; Arthropoda; Arachnida; Araneae; Eresidae.